UACGGAGGGUGCAAGCGUUAUCCGGAAUCACUGGGGUUAAAGGGUGCGUAGGCGGCCUGGUAAGUCAGGGGUGAAAGCUUCCCGCUCAACGGGAGAACUGCCCUUGAUACUGCCAGGCUCGAAUUGGGUUGAGGCCGGCGGAAUGUGGCAUGUAGCGGUGAAAUGCUUAGAUAUGCCAUAGAACACCGAUUGCGAAGGCAGCCGGCCAAGCCUUGAUUGACGCUGAGGCACGAAAGCGUGGGGAGCGAACAGG
This 253-nucleotide ribosomal RNA is filed under the name uncultured bacterium. RNAcentral's name for it is "partial 16S ribosomal RNA". It matches the Rfam family "Bacterial small subunit ribosomal RNA", at positions 524 to 776 of the family's 1533-position model. The record is from RNAcentral.